Molecule: transfer RNA, 65 nt
Filed under: Sambus femoralis
Lineage: Eukaryota; Metazoa; Arthropoda; Insecta; Coleoptera; Buprestidae
Description: tRNA-Phe
Rfam family: tRNA
About the family: Transfer RNA (tRNA) molecules are approximately 80 nucleotides in length. Their secondary structure includes four short double-helical elements and three loops (D, anti-codon, and T loops).
Source: RNAcentral
ACUUAAAUAGCUUAAAUUAGAGCAUAACAUUGAAGAUGUUAAAGUAAUUAUUAAAUUUUUAAGUA